RNAcentral lists this ribosomal RNA (156 nucleotides) under Triticum aestivum (bread wheat). RNAcentral describes it as "partial small subunit ribosomal RNA". The record is from RNAcentral. Lineage: Eukaryota; Viridiplantae; Streptophyta; Magnoliopsida; Poales; Poaceae.
CUAACGACAUGGGCUAUUUGGAAGCACCAGAAUGCCGUGAUCUUCGACAGUGCUUGACCCUCCUCCACCCAGUUCUCCAAUACCAUCAAGUAGGAGGCGCAGCUAUGGGCAAGAGCCGGCGCCAAAGGCUUAGAUAGACUAUUGCAUGUAACCUGA